GAUUAAGUUAAUAAGGGCGCACGGUGGAUGCCUUGGCACUAGAAGCCGAAGAAGGACGUGACAAACGACGAAAUGCUUUGGGGAGCUGUAAGUAAGCGCUGAUCCAGAGAUGUCCGAAUGGGGGAACCCACUAACUAAUGGUUAGUAUCCAUAACUGUUAAGGUUAUGAGAAGGAAGACGCAGUGAACUGAAACAUCUAAGUAGCUGCAGGAAGAGAAAGCAAACGCGAUUGCCUUAGUAGCGGCGAGCGAAACGGCAGGAGGGCAAACCGAAGUGUUUACACUUCGGGGUUGUAGGACUGCGACGUGGGACUUUAAAAGGAUAGAAGAAUUACCUGGGAAGGUAAGCCAAAGAGAGUAAAAGCCUCGUAUUUAAAAUUCUUUUGAGCCCUAGCAGUAUCCUGAGUACGGCGAGACACGUGAAAUCUCGUUGGAAUCUGGGAGGACCAUCUCCCAACCCUAAAUACUCUCUAGUGACCGAUAGUGAACCAGUACCGUGAGGGAAAGGUGAAAAGCACCCCGGGAGGGGAGUGAAAUAGAACCUGAAACCGUGUGCCUACAACAAGUUCGAGCCCGUUAAUGGGUGAGAGCGUGCCUUUUGUAGAAUGAACCGGCGAGUUACGAUAUGAUGCGAGGUUAAGUUGAAGAGACGGAGCCGUAGGGAAACCGAGUCUUAAUAGGGCGAUUUAGUAUCAUGUUGUAGACCCGAAACCAUGUGACCUACCCAUGAGCAGGUUGAAGGUGAGGUAAAACUCACUGGAGGACCGAACCAGGGCACGUUGAAAAGUGCUUGGAUGACUUGUGGGUAGCGGAGAAAUUCCAAACGAACUUGGAGAUAGCUGGUUCUCUCCGAAAUAGCUUUAGGGCUAGCGUCGAUGUUAAGUCUCUUGGAGGUAGAGCACUGUUUGGGUGAGGGGUCCAUCUCGGAUUACCAAUCUCAGAUAAACUCCGAAUGCCAACGAGAUAUCAUCGGCAGUCAGACUGCGAGUGCUAAGAUCCGUAGUCGAAAGGGAAACAGCCCAGACCACCAGCUAAGGUCCCAAAAUAACUGUUAAGUGGAAAAGGAUGUGGGGUUGCACAGACAACUAGGAUGUUAGCUUAGAAGCAGCUAUUCAUUCAAAGAGUGCGUAAUAGCUCACUAGUCGAGUGACCCUGCGCCGAAAAUGUACCGGGGCUAAAACAGUUUACCGAAGCUGUGGAUGACACAAAAGUGUCAUGGUAGGAGAGCGUUCUAUGUGUGAAGAAGGUGUACCGUGAGGAGCGCUGGAACGCAUAGAAGUGAGAAUGCCGGUAUGAGUAGCGAAAGACAGGUGAGAAUCCUGUCCACCGUAAGACUAAGGUUUCCAGGGGAAGGCUCGUCCGCCCUGGGUUAGUCGGGACCUAAGGAGAGACCGAAAGGUGUAUCCGAUGGCCAACAGGUUGAUAUUCCUGUACUAGAGUAUAUAGUGAUGGAGGGACGCAGUAGGCUAACUAAACCGGACGAUUGGAAGAGUCCGGCUAAGCAGUGAGGUGUAAGAUGAGUCAAAUGCUUAUCUUUAUAACAUUGAGCUGUGAUGGGGAGCGAAUUUUAGUAGCGAAGUUAGUGAUGUCACACUGCCAAGAAAAGCUUCUAGCGUUUAAUGAUACUCUACCCGUACCGCAAACCGACACAGGUAGUCGAGGCGAGUAGCCUCAGGUGAUCGAGAGAACUCUCGUUAAGGAACUCGGCAAAAUGACCCCGUAACUUCGGGAGAAGGGGUGCUGACUUAGGUCAGCCGCAGUGAAUAGGCCCAAGCAACUGUUUAUCAAAAACACAGCUCUCUGCUAAAUCGUAAGAUGAUGUAUAGGGGGUGACGCCUGCCCGGUGCUGGAAGGUUAAGAGGAGGGUUUAGCGCAAGCGAAGAUCUGAAUUGAAGCCCCAGUAAACGGCGGCCGUAACUAUAACGGUCCUAAGGUAGCGAAAUUCCUUGUCGGGUAAGUUCCGACCCGCACGAAAGGCGUAAUGAUUUGGGCACUGUCUCAACGAGAGACUCG
This 2012-nucleotide ribosomal RNA is filed under the name Lacticaseibacillus rhamnosus. Its description in RNAcentral is "partial 23S ribosomal RNA". It matches the Rfam family "Bacterial large subunit ribosomal RNA", at positions 1 to 2035 of the family's 2925-position model. The record is from RNAcentral. Lineage: Bacteria; Bacillati; Bacillota; Bacilli; Lactobacillales; Lactobacillaceae.